RNAcentral lists this long non-coding RNA (641 nucleotides) under Mytilus galloprovincialis (Mediterranean mussel). The record is from RNAcentral. Lineage: Eukaryota; Metazoa; Mollusca; Bivalvia; Mytilida; Mytilidae.
UAUUAUAGUAUUAAUGAAUGGGUGUUUUUAUAAUGGCCCUGUUAUAUGUCCAAGGUCUGUUAUAAUGGUCGAGGAAGUCUGUAAUGGCCCGAGGCAACGCCGAGGGCCAUUACAGACAUCCGAGGCCAUUAUUACUGACCAAGGACAUAUAACAGAGCCAUUAUAAAAACACCCAUUUCUUAAUACAUUUAUUAACCAACUGAAUAACAGUGUAUGUGUUAAUAUACCAAAUAUUCAAGAUAUUAAGUUGACAGAAGUUAUGUGUUGAAAAACAGGAGGAACAGUGAUCCCUAUAUAUGGUUCUUUAAUGUUGGUUACUGGUUACUAAAUUAAAUAAAAUACAAAAAAGUAUUAUACUCUUUACAACUUAAUUUUAUUAACUUUAUUAAAAACCCUUACUGUGCUUUAUACAGACAAACCGGGCAUUAAUACAGGGCCAUUACAGAAAAACAGGGCCAUUACAGAAAAAAAACAGGGCCAUUACAGAAAAACAGGGCCAUUACAAAAAAACAGGGCCAUUACAGAAAAAAAACAGGGCCAUUACAGAAAAAACAGGGCCAUUACAGAAAAUAUGUUAUUUUUAAUAACCAGUCAUUUUUGGCAAUAAUGUACUUAGUUGGUUAAUAAAUAUAUAUAUAUCU